RNAcentral lists this ribosomal RNA (300 nucleotides) under uncultured Mesoplasma sp. Its description in RNAcentral is "bacterial SSU rRNA". The stretch from base 52 to 300 matches the Rfam family "Bacterial small subunit ribosomal RNA", at positions 547 to 795 of the family's 1533-position model. The record is from RNAcentral. Lineage: Bacteria; Bacillati; Mycoplasmatota; Mollicutes; Entomoplasmatales; Entomoplasmataceae.
GCACAAUCAGUGCAGGCGAGCUGGGGAAUGCGGUGGUUGCAAUUGUGAAUAGGAAACAGUGGGCGUAAAGAGCAUGUAGUCAGAUUAAUAAUAUAGAAGGGAAAUCCUAUUGCGUAACUAUAGAACUGCUGUGAGAACUGUGAAUCUAUAAUGUGUGAGAGGUAGAUGGAAUUUCUGGUGUAGGGGUAAAAUCCGUAGAGAUCAGAAGGAAUACCGAUUGCGAAGGCGAUCUACUGGAACAUUAUUGACGCUGAGAUGCGAAAGCGUGGGGAGCAAACAGGAUUAGAUACCCUGGUAGUC